GGCAACGGAUAUCUCGGCUCUCGCAUCGAUGAAGAACGUAGCGAAAUGCGAUACUUGGUGUGAAUUGCAGAAUCCCGUGACCAUCGAGUCUUUGAACGCAAGUUGCGCCCGAAGCCACUAGGCCGAGGGCACGCCUGCCUGGGCGUCACACGUCGUUGCCAC
RNAcentral lists this ribosomal RNA (162 nucleotides) under Prunus laurocerasus (cherry laurel). RNAcentral describes it as "5.8S ribosomal RNA". It matches the Rfam family "5.8S ribosomal RNA". Rfam says of the family: 5.8S ribosomal RNA (5.8S rRNA) is a component of the large subunit of the eukaryotic ribosome. It is transcribed by RNA polymerase I as part of the 45S precursor that also contains 18S and 28S rRNA. The record is from RNAcentral. Lineage: Eukaryota; Viridiplantae; Streptophyta; Magnoliopsida; Rosales; Rosaceae.